GAGGCCUUAGCUUAAUUAAAGUGUUUGGUUUGCAGCCAUAAGAUGUAAGUUAGUGUUUACAGGUCUUC
RNAcentral lists this transfer RNA (68 nucleotides) under Microgecko persicus (Persia sand gecko). Its description in RNAcentral is "tRNA-Ala". It matches the Rfam family "tRNA". From Rfam's summary of the family: Transfer RNA (tRNA) molecules are approximately 80 nucleotides in length. Their secondary structure includes four short double-helical elements and three loops (D, anti-codon, and T loops). The record is from RNAcentral. Lineage: Eukaryota; Metazoa; Chordata; Lepidosauria; Squamata; Gekkonidae.